CCAGCAGCCGCGGUAAUUCCAGCUCCAAUAGCGUAUAUUAAAGUUGUUGCAGUUAAAAGCUCGUAGUUGAAUUCGGGGUUAGUAGGCUGGUCAUGCCUCUGGUAUGUACUGGUCUCACUGAUUCCUCCUUCCUGAUGAGCCGUAAUGCCAUUAAUUUGGUGUUGCGGGGAAUUUGGACUGUUACUUUGAAAAAUUAGAGUGUUUAAAGCAAGCUAACGCUUGAAUACAUUAGCAUGGAAUAAUGGAAUAGGACGUUCGAUCCUAUUUUGUUGGUUUCUAGGAUUGACGUAAUGAUUAAUAGGGAUAGUUGGGGGCAUUAGUAUUCAAUUGUCAGAGGUGAAAUUCUUGGAUUUAUUGAAGACUAACUACUGCGAAAGCAUUUGCCAAGGAUGUUUUCAUUAAUCAAGAACGAAAGUUAGGGGGAUCGAAGACGAUCAGAUACCGUCGUAGUCUUAACCAUAAACUAUGCCGACUAGGGAUCGGAUGAUGUUAAUUUUUUAAUGACUCAUUCGGCGCCUUACG
RNAcentral lists this ribosomal RNA (522 nucleotides) under uncultured Glomus. RNAcentral's name for it is "SSU rRNA". It matches the Rfam family "Eukaryotic small subunit ribosomal RNA", at positions 567 to 1092 of the family's 1831-position model. The record is from RNAcentral. Lineage: Eukaryota; Fungi; Glomeromycota; Glomeromycetes; Glomerales; Glomeraceae.